Molecule: RNA transcript, 5993 nt
Organism: Poecile atricapillus (Black-capped chickadee)
Lineage: Eukaryota; Metazoa; Chordata; Aves; Passeriformes; Paridae
Gene: CLTCL1
Gene name: clathrin heavy chain like 1
Exons: 34
Source: RefSeq, a predicted model, not a curated record
GGAGGGCGGCGGGCGCGCCGGGCGCCAUCCCAGCGAGGGCUCCGCGCCUGCGCCGCUCCUGCCGCCGUGAGGGGAGCACCGGCGGCCGCCCCGCUUCACCGCCCGCCCCUGCCCCGCGCCCCUGCCCCGGGGAGCUCACUCCCAGCCAUGGCCCAGAUACUGCCCAUUCGCUUCCAGGAGCACUUCCAGCUCCAAAAUUUGGGUAUUAAUCCAGCAAACAUUGGAUUCAGCACCCUAACGAUGGAAUCUGACAAGUUCAUCUGCAUAAGGGAGAAAGUCGGAGAGCAGGCACAAGUAGUGAUAAUUGACAUGGGUGAUCCAACAACACCCAUCAGACGUCCAAUUUCUGCAGAAAGUGCCAUCAUGAAUCCAGCCUCUAAAGUAAUAGCACUAAAAGCCGGGAAAACACUUCAGAUCUUUAACAUUGAGAUGAAAAGUAAAAUGAAAGCCCACACAAUGGCAGAGGAAGUGAUCUUCUGGAAAUGGAUAUCUGUGAAUACAGUUGCCUUGGUGACAGAGACAGCAGUGUACCACUGGAGCAUGGAGGGAGAAUCACAACCCCAAAAGAUGUUUGAUAGACAUGCUAGUCUUGCAGGCUGCCAAAUCAUCAAUUACAGAACAGAUGAACACCAAAAAUGGCUGCUGCUGAUAGGAAUUUCAGCACAGCAAAAUCGCGUGGUUGGUGCAAUGCAGCUGUAUUCAGUUGACAGAAAAGUCUCCCAGCCUAUAGAAGGCCAUGCCGCAGCUUUUGCAGAAUUCAAAAUAGAGGGAAAUGCCAAACCUUCUACCCUCUUCUGUUUUGCUGUGAGGAGUCCUGCAGGAGGCAAGCUGCACAUAAUCGAAGUAGGUCAGCCAGCUACUGGAAAUCAGCCAUUUGUUAAGAAAGCUGUUGAUGUGUUUUUCCCACCUGAGGCACAAACAGACUUUCCUGUGGCAAUGCAGAUUGGAAUUAAGCAUGGUGUUAUUUAUCUGAUCACGAAAUAUGGAUAUAUCCACAUGUAUGAUUUGGAGUCUGGAGUGUGCAUCUACAUGAACCGUAUCAGUGCUGAUACUAUCUUUGUCACAGCUCCUCAUGAACCUACCUCAGGCAUUAUCGGUGUGAAUAAAAAAGGACAGGUGCUUUCUGUAUGUGUUGAGGAAGACAACAUAGUGAACUAUGCUACAAAUGUUCUCCAGAAUCCUGACUUGGGACUGCGAAUGGCUAUACGUAGUAAUCUCGCUGGGGCAGAGGAGUUAUUUGCCAGAAAAUUUAACACACUGUUUGCUCAAGGAAACUAUGCAGAUGCUGCUAAAGUAGCUGCAUCUGCACCAAAGGGAAUUCUACGUACCAGUGAUACAAUUAGGAAGUUCCAGAGUGUACCGGCUCAGCCUGGGCAGGCCUCUCCCCUGCUCCAAUACUUUGGAAUAUUGCUUGACCAGGGACAGCUGAACAAAUUUGAAUCUCUGGAGCUCUGUCGCCCCGUCCUGCAGCAGGGCCGGAAACAGCUUCUGGAGAAGUGGCUGAAGGAAGACAAGCUGGAGUGCUCUGAGGAGCUGGGAGACUUGGUGAAGACGGCUGACCCAACCCUUGCACUCAGUGUCUACCUUCGAGCUAAUGUGCCAAACAAAGUGAUUCAGUGCUUUGCUGAAACUGGUCAAUUCCAGAAAAUAGUGCUGUAUGCUAAGAAGGUUGGCUAUACCCCAGACUGGAUCUUCCUACUGAGAAGUGUGAUGAGAGUCAGUCCAGAACAAGGCCUGCAGUUCUCUCAGAUGCUGGUACAGGACGAGGAGCCACUGGCUAACAUUAACCAGAUUGUGGAUGUGUUCAUGGAGCACAGUCUUCUGCAGCAGUGCACAUCCUUUUUGUUGGAUGCCCUGAAAAACAACCGCCCUGCAGAAGGCCACCUUCAGACCCGUCUCCUGGAAAUGAAUUUGAUUCAUGCCCCGCAGGUUGCAGAUGCCAUUCUCGGAAACCAAAUGUUUACACACUAUGAUCGUGCUCACGUUGCCCAGCUGUGUGAAAAGGCAGGCUUGCUCCAGCGAGCUUUGGAACACUACACAGAUCUCUAUGAUAUUAAACGAGCAGUUGUUCAUACUCACCUCUUGAAUCCUGAGUGGCUUGUGAACUUCUUUGGCUCUCUCUCCGUUGAAGACUCCGUGGAGUGUUUGCGUGCCAUGCUGUCAGCCAACAUUAGACAAAACCUACAGCUGUGUGUGCAAGUUGCUUCUAAAUACCAUGAACAGCUUGGCACCCAGUCUCUUGUGGAGCUUUUUGAAUCUUUCAAAAGCUAUGAAGGACUGUUCUAUUUCUUGGGUUCCAUUGUAAACUUUAGCCAGGAUCCAGAUGUUCACUUCAAGUACAUCCAGGCAGCUUGCAAGACUGGUCAGAUAAAGGAAGUGGAAAGGAUCUGCCGUGAAAGUAACUGCUAUAACCCAGAACGAGUGAAGAACUUUCUGAAGGAGGCAAAGCUCACAGAUCAGCUUCCUCUGAUCAUUGUCUGCGAUCGGUUUGACUUUGUUCAUGACCUGGUGCUCUAUUUAUAUCGCAAUAAUCUGCAGAAGUAUAUCGAGAUCUACGUACAGAAGGUGAAUCCUAGCCGUAUACCAGCAGUGGUUGGAGGGCUUCUUGAUGUAGAUUGUUCUGAAGAUAUCAUCAAGAACUUGAUCAUGGUGGUGAGAGGGCAGUUCUCCACAGAUGAGCUAGUGGCUGAAGUGGAAAAAAGAAAUCGGCUUAAGUUGCUGUUGCCAUGGCUUGAAUCAAGGAUUCAUGAAGGCUGUGAAGAACCUGCGACACAUAAUGCUUUGGCCAAAAUCUACAUUGACAGUAAUAAUAAUCCAGAACGCUUCCUUCGUGAGAAUCCUUACUAUGACAGCCGUGUAGUUGGCAAAUAUUGUGAAAAGAGGGACCCUCAUCUGGCCUGCGUUGCUUAUGAGAGGGGACAGUGUGAUCUGGAACUCAUAAAGGUGUGCAAUGAGAACUCCCUGUUUAAGAGCGAGGCUCGUUAUCUGGUGCGCAGGAAGGACCCUGAGCUCUGGGCAAAUGUACUGGAAGAAAACAACCCAUUCAGGCGGCAGCUUAUUGACCAGGUUGUCCAAACAGCUUUAUCAGAGACACAGGAUCCAGAGGAAGUUUCUGUAACUGUGAAAGCUUUCAUGACUGCUGAUCUGCCAAAUGAACUGAUUGAGUUAUUGGAAAAAAUUGUCUUGGAUAAUUCUGUAUUCAGUGAACACAGGAAUCUCCAGAACCUGCUGAUCCUGACUGCCAUUAAGGCUGACCGCACGCGAGUGAUGGAAUACAUCAAUCGGCUGGAUAACUAUGAUGCCCCAGAUAUUGCAAACAUUGCCAUCAGUAAUGAGCUAUAUGAGGAAGCCUUUGCUAUAUUCAGAAAAUUCGAUGUCAAUACUUCAGCAAUUCAGGUGCUGAUUGAGCACAUUGGCAAUUUAGACCGUGCUUAUGAAUUUGCAGAGAGAUGUAAUGAACCAGCAGUGUGGAGCCAGCUGGCCAGAGCACAGCUCCAGAAGGACUUGGUGAAGGAAGCCAUUGACUCCUAUAUAAAGGCAGAUGAUCCAUCUGCCUACAUGGAAGUUGUUCAGGCAGCUAAUAGAAAUGAUAAUUGGGAGGACCUAGUCAAGUUCUUACAGAUGGCCAGGAAGAAGGCGAGAGAGUCUUAUGUAGAGACAGAACUUAUUUUUGCUUUGGCAAAAACAAAUCGUCUGUCAGAACUGGAGGAGUUUAUUAGUGGCCCUAAUAAUGCCCAUAUACAGCAGGUCGGUGAUCGCUGUUACGAAGAGGGGAUGUAUGAAGCAGCAAAACUUCUCUACAACAACGUAUCCAACUUUGCUCGCCUGGCAUCUACCUUGGUGCACCUUGGGGAGUAUCAGGCAGCUGUGGACAGUGGCCGCAAAGCCAAUAGCACAAGGACUUGGAAGGAGGUCUGCUUUGCCUGUGUGGAUGGAAAAGAAUUCCGCUUGGCACAGAUCUGUGGCUUACACAUUGUUAUCCAUGCCGAUGAACUUGAGGAGCUGAUCAGUUACUAUCAGGAUCGUGGCUACUUUGAAGAACUGAUUGCCCUUUUGGAAGCUGCUUUGGGCCUAGAGCGUGCGCAUAUGGGGAUGUUUACUGAACUUGCCAUCUUAUACUCCAAAUUCAAGCCUCAAAAAAUGAGGGAACAUCUGGAGCUUUUCUGGUCUAGAGUUAAUAUUCCAAAGGUGCUCAGAGCUGCAGAACAGGCUCAUCUCUGGGCAGAACUUGUAUUCCUCUAUGACAAGUACGAGGAGUAUGACAAUGCAAUAAUUACUAUGAUGAAUCAUCCCACUGAUGCCUGGAAAGAAGGCCAGUUUAAAGAUAUAAUUGCCAAGGUGGCCAAUGUGGAGCUGUACUACAAAGCCUUGCAAUUCUACUUAGACUACAAACCUCUGCUGAUCAAUGAUCUCCUACUUGUAUUAUCUCCACGACUGGAUCACACCAGGACAGUCAAUUUUUUCUCAAAGGUUAAUCAGCUACUUCUAGUAAAGCCUUAUCUGCGUUCAGUCCAGAACCACAACAACAAAGGAGUUAAUGAAGCUCUAAACAACCUUUUAACAGAAGAGGAAGAUUUCCAGGGUUUGAGAGCUUCCAUUGAUGCCUAUGACAACUUUGAUAACAUAACGUUGGCUCAGCGUCUGGAAAAGCAUGAACUAAUUGAAUUUAGGCGUAUUGCAGCAUACUUGUACAAGGGUAACAACCGCUGGAAACAGAGUGUGGAGCUGUGCAAGAAAGACCGUCUAUAUAAGGAUGCUAUGCAGUAUGCUGCAGAGUCCAAAGAUGCAGAGCUGGCUGAGAAGCUGCUCCAGUGGUUCUUGGAAGAAGGCAAGCAGGAGUGCUUUGCAGCCUGCCUUUUCACAUGCUAUGACUUACUGCACCCAGAUGUAGUCCUUGAGUUGGCAUGGAGACAUAACAUAAUGGACUUUGCAAUGCCUUACUUCAUCCAAGUGAUCAGAGAGUACCUUACCAAAGUUGAUGGACUGUUCUAUAAGGUGGAUAAACUUGAUGCUUCUGAAAGCCUAAGAAAAGAAGAGGAACAAGUAACUGAACCCACUCCAAUAGUAUUUGUAGAAAAGCAGACUGGCUUUCUAGCUCACGCAUUAUAAGACAUGUGCAGCCAAAACACCAUGGCUGUCUUGAAGUGUGAUGCUAUUUUAGAAGCCCUUCUGAAGAGGCAUUCAAGCACCUAGAAGUGGCUGGCCAGCAGUUGAUGUUAACAGCGGGCCCCAGUGCAGUACCUCCCCAGGCAAACUUCCCAUACGGAUACACAGCACCAGGAUUCACCCAGCCGCCUGUUUAUGGUUUCAAUAUGUAACUAGCUCUCUGACAGACCUUCACUGUCUCUGUUCUCUUCCUUCCCGUCCCUUUUUAACUUCUCCAAGAAGUGUACAAGGCACAGAUGACCUUCUGUUGGCUGAACACACUUGCAGCCUAGCUCAGUGAGGAGACUUCAGCAGGAUGCCUGUUACUGUUAUUUAUUGAUUAUUGUCCGGUUACAUUUCGACCUCUGAAAGGCAGCUUUUGUUAAUGACAUUGUGAGACUCUUGUCUGAAGUUAAGGCACUAUUUCACUAACUCAUAUAGCAAUAACUACUUGAGGCCAGGGGGAAGAGAGCAUAAUUUUCUUUGUUUUGAAAAGCCCGUUGAAGGCAGCUGGGAAAUUGCCUGGCACCAAGUUGUUAAAGCUUUAGCUGAAGCUACUGAAGUAGCAGGGUUGUUAACAAUUCAAUGAAACAUCUCUUUAAUAAUGAAUUGUUGAAAGCUUGUGUACAUCUGAUCACCCCAUUUUAUUUGCAUUCUUAUGUGCAAAAGAAAAUGGGCCUUUCUAAUACUUGUGCUCUGAAUGUUUAGAGGAAUAUUGGGAAAGUUUCCUUUUAUGGACAGUAAUGCUGUUGGAGUUCAAUGCUGUUGGGGUUCAAUACUGUUGGAGUCUGUUCUCUAUUUUCUGGAGUAGAUCUGAGACUUGAAGAAAAUAAAUCUCAUGCCAGAGA